Long non-coding RNA from Drosophila subpulchrella, 450 nucleotides. RefSeq lists it as uncharacterized. Lineage: Eukaryota; Metazoa; Arthropoda; Insecta; Diptera; Drosophilidae. The transcript has 3 exons. The record is from RefSeq and is a predicted model, not a curated record.
UUUCUCUAACGCAGUCUCAUUCCUAAUUCGGUUGUGCUUCAAUACAGACCUCAUACAAACAAAGAUAUCAACACGAAAACGUAAAAAAACAGCCAACAAAACGUAGAAAACACAUAUUAGUCUCUCAUCUUUGCAGUGGAACUCACAAUGGUUGUGGUAUAUCAUCGCUGAUUUUUCCACCAGACUUCAUCAGACUCAUCAGCUUUUACAUCUUCCUUGGACGAUCUCAAACAGAUCUCUAUAACGCCGAUCGUCCGUGGUUUCACUUAGCUGGGGAACUCAUCGCUGCUCGUCACGUAAUGCAUCUAUUUUCGUCUUAAGGGAAACGCUGGGCCUUCAAAAUAUGCGGCGUAUUUUGAAGGACGACCUUGGUCUCUGUCCUAAAAAAAAAACUAAUUUUCUGCCAUUUAUUUAAAACGUACAAAUAAAAAUAAAAUGUUUAAAUAAAAA